RNAcentral lists this ribosomal RNA (253 nucleotides) under uncultured Eubacteriales bacterium. RNAcentral describes it as "uncultured Clostridiales bacterium partial 16S ribosomal RNA". It matches the Rfam family "Bacterial small subunit ribosomal RNA", at positions 524 to 776 of the family's 1533-position model. Lineage: Bacteria; Bacillati; Bacillota; Clostridia; Eubacteriales. The record is from RNAcentral.
UACGUAGGGGGCAAGCGUUAUCCGGAUUUACUGGGUGUAAAGGGUGCGUAGGUGGCAGGGCAAGUCAGAUGUGAAAGCCCGGGGCCCAACCCCGGUACUGCAUUUGAAACUGUCCGGCUGGAGUGCAGGAGAGGUAAGCGGAAUUCCUAGUGUAGCGGUGAAAUGCAUAGAUAUCACGCAGAACGCCGAUUGCGAAGGCAGCAUACCGGCGCCCAACUGACGCUGAGGCACGAAAGCGUGGGGAUCGAACAGG